GAUGAACGCUGGCGGCGUGCCUAAUACAUGCAAGUCGAGCGAACGGACGAGAAGCUUGCUUCUCUGAUGUUAGCGGCGGACGGGUGAGUAACACGUGGAUAACCUACCUAUAAGACUGGGAUAACUUCGGGAAACCGGAGCUAAUACCGGAUGAUAUUUUGAACCGCAUGGUUCAAAAGUGAAAGACGGUCUUGCUGUCACUUAUAGAUGGAUCCGCGCUGCACUAGCUAGUUGGUAAGGUAACGGCUUACCAAGGCAACGAUGCAUAGCCGACCUGAGAGGGUGAUCAGCCACACUGGAACUGAGACACGGUCCAGACUCCUACGGGAGGCAGCAGUAGGGAAUCUUCCGCAAUGGGCGAAAGCCUGACGGAGCAACGCCGCGCGAGUGAUGAAGGUCUUCGGAUCGUAAAACUCUGUUAUUAGGGAAGAACAUAUGUGUAAGUAACUGUGCACAUCUUGACGGUACCUAAUCAGAAAGCCACGGCUAACUACGUG
RNAcentral lists this ribosomal RNA (497 nucleotides) under uncultured bacterium. RNAcentral's name for it is "partial 16S ribosomal RNA". It matches the Rfam family "Bacterial small subunit ribosomal RNA", at positions 28 to 507 of the family's 1533-position model. The record is from RNAcentral.